Molecule: long non-coding RNA, 772 nt
Filed under: Nicotiana tabacum (common tobacco)
Lineage: Eukaryota; Viridiplantae; Streptophyta; Magnoliopsida; Solanales; Solanaceae
Description: long non-coding RNA (NTAB_LNC007394)
Source: RNAcentral
GGGGUUGGAGUGGGGUGGGGUAGAGUGUAGUAGGGGUGGGGGUAGGUAGGUAGGUGGGGUGUGCGGGUGGGUAAUAGGACAGGGAGGUUGAAAAAAAAAGUUAUGGAAAAUAUUUUCCUUCUCUUGAUUGUGGGUAAACAUUCCAUUGAAAAAAAAAUUCCAAGUCAAUCAAACACGAACAACAACAACAAAUCUAAGGGAGUGUAGUUUGUACGCAGACCUUACCCUAUCCAGGGUUAGAGAGGCUGUUUCCGAUAGAAACUCGGAAACCUAUCUCCAAGAACUCCCAUGAGAAAUUGGGGUGACUCAUGAGAAAAAUUGAAAAACAUUUUCCGCGCACACCCUAAAACAUUGAUUUUAGAGCCGAUUAACUGACAGAUAAACAUUACAGAAUAGUAUCAGGAUUCAGGAGCAAAAUAACACAGGAAGUGGAAAGUUGUUUUAGCAUAUAAUGAAGAAGGGAAAAUGAUGAUCCAACAGAGAAAAAAGAAAUGGACGGACCAUGGAGGAAACAAUGAGGCCCGUUUCGUUGGGAAUGCUUUUGCCAUGCCUCAGCACCCAAUAUCUGUUAACGACGCCUGCCAUUCUUUACUCUCCACUCUUCACUGCUCUUCCUUUAUUCAGCCAAUCCGGGGCGGUACUUAUAGGUAGCUCCACGACGUCGUUUUAUAUUUUUUAAUUAUUUAAUUCGACCGAAGAAUUAAGGUACAAUAUUUUAGGCACAAUGAACAAUCAGUCGCCUUUGUUCAUUAAGCAGGUAAGCGGAUCCGGG